GAUGAACGCUGGCGGCGUGCCUAAUACAUGCAAGUCGAGCGAACGGACGAUAAGCUUGUUUCUUUGAUGUUAGCGGCGGACGGGUGAGUAACACGUGGAUAACCCACUUAUAUGACUGGGAUAACCUCGGGAAACCGGAGCUAAUACCGGAUAAUAUUUUGAACCGCAUGGUUCAAAAGUGAAAGACGGUCUUGCUGUCACUUAUAGAUGGAUCCGCGCUGCAUUAGCUAGUUGGUAGGGUAACGGCCUACCAAGGCAACGAUGCAUAGCCGAGCUGAGAGGGUGAUCGGCCACAUGGGAGGUGAGACACGGACCAGACUCCUAAGGGAGGGAGCAGAAGGGAAUCGUCGGCAAUGGGCGGAAGCCUGACGGAGCAGCGGCGCGUGAGUGAUGAAAGUCUUCGGAGCGUAAAACUCGGUUAUUGGGUAAGAACAUAUGUGGAAGUAACUGUGGACAGAUUGACGGUAACUAAUCAGAAAGCAACGGCUAACUACGUG
Molecule: ribosomal RNA, 497 nt
Filed under: uncultured bacterium
Lineage: Bacteria
Description: partial 16S ribosomal RNA
Rfam family: Bacterial small subunit ribosomal RNA
Source: RNAcentral